CACGUCAGCUUUGGAGCUCUUCUAAAUGCAGAAACUGCCGUAACAGUCGAAGCAUGUGAAAGUCGAGCUCGGCAUCCUAGAAAGUUUUAUAGUUUAACGGUUAUCACUGACAGGAAAAAGCGGUUCUGUCAGAAGUGAGGGACCAUAAACACCAGACAGAACGUACGUUCACAUUUUGGAACAGAGAAAUCUUAAUAUUGGGUAACAGUCCAGGCUAAAGGGCUUGAGCUCAGGCCUUGCGAGCUGUGAAGACCUCUCGGUACAACCUCACCGAGCUGCUAACCACUAAAAAUGGGAACAGUUCUACAAGUUGUUUCUAGUUGUGCAUGCUGUUACAGGCCAAACCGCCGAGAUAGUUCUAGUGAAGACAACAGAUACCUAAGAAACAGUUGGCUACGAAUCAUGACGUCGAAACUGCGGCGACAGAAUGGGACACCUGAGACUCUAUCACGGAACAAAAGAGCCGAAGAACAAGAGCUCGGAUGUGAUCAUUUCGCUUGGAAAGACUCAUCCAUAUCACUGGAAAGUCAUAUAUUCAAAAAGCAGAACGAUGAAGAUUUUAAACGCAUUUCUAUUUAGCACAUUUUUAUGACGCAUUCUGUCCUAUUCAGAUUUUGAAAUUGUCGUCAGUAACACUUAAGUUUAGGGACCAGUCAAAACCUCCCCCUCCUCCGAAAUCUUCCAACUCCCCCUCCCCCCCUUCGACGAUAAAUAAUGGUCUCUUAGGCUUCUCCUUUGCAAAAUAUAACAUGGGAUGUGAGCACUUCUCUCAUAACUGAAUUUUUUUUUCUGUUAUGUCAAAUUGAUAAUUGAUAUUACAACGAAGAUAGAAAGGAUACACAAUUGAACAGUGUUGCAGUGGACUUUGGUUUUAUUACAAAACCCUUAAUUUUUACAUGGAUACAUCAGUUUAAUUAUAAAUUAUUGGUAGAUUAUGUACAUUAAUUUAACAUGUUAAUACUUUUCAUGCAUGUAAUUAUAUUAUUUUCAUGACUACAUUAGGAAACAACGCAAUAAUCUAUACCUGUAAAAUGUUAUGAUUUAAUAAGUUACACUUUAUCAUUAAAUUAUGUACACAUUAUUUAUCUGUC
Molecule: long non-coding RNA, 1091 nt
Organism: Pocillopora verrucosa
Lineage: Eukaryota; Metazoa; Cnidaria; Anthozoa; Scleractinia; Pocilloporidae
Source: RefSeq, a predicted model, not a curated record